Molecule: ribosomal RNA, 249 nt
Filed under: uncultured prokaryote
Description: partial 16S ribosomal RNA
Rfam family: Bacterial small subunit ribosomal RNA
Source: RNAcentral
UACGGAGGAUGCGAGCGUUAUCCGGAUUUAUUGGGUUUAAAGGGUGCGCAGGUUGUUUGAUAAGUCAGUGGUGAAAGUCUGUCGCUUAACGGUAGGAUUGCCAUUGAUACUGUUAGACUUGAAUAUGGAUGAGGUAGGCGGAAUGUGUAGUGUAGCGGUGAAAUGCAUAGAUAUUACACAGAACACCGAUUGCGAAGGCAGCUUACUAAUCCAUCAUUGACGCUGAGGCACGAAAGCGUGGGGAUCAAA